This is a long non-coding RNA of Solanum tuberosum (potato), 907 nucleotides long. RefSeq lists it as uncharacterized. NCBI's taxonomy places the organism in Eukaryota, Viridiplantae, Streptophyta, Magnoliopsida, Solanales, Solanaceae. The record is from RefSeq and is a predicted model, not a curated record. The transcript is spliced from 5 exons.
GAAAUAUUUUCAAAUAUGGUAAGAAAACGAAGCAGCAUUACAGUUGCACUGUCUAACGGAGAUUGUCUUGGAGAAGCUUCAAAUUUUUAGUUUUCCUUUGCAAGGAUUGAGAAAAUUUUGUUGUGAUUUCUCCUCACAAGACAAGAUUAUCAAAUAGAAAGUCCACCUUGAGUUGCACAUGGUCAUUAUCAAGACCUAUUGGAUUUUGUUGAAGCCGCACCCUUGUUCUUGUUGGCAAUUGUUACUGAAGGAGCCCUUAGAGCCACAUUAAAGUUCUUGUUCCUUUUGGUUGAUUCAGGAAAAUGUCUAAGUGAUAUCAGCCUCAGCCUUACCUGAUUUGCUAAAAUCAAUUGUUGAUAGUGCUGAGUACUGAGUUUGAUUUCUCACUACCAAUAAAGGUUGACUUUUGCCUGUUUGAUUGUCACAAUUAUUGCCGAUAAAAGGUAAAUGGUUUCAUAGGCAGAAGGCUAAUUCCUGAACUCUGGUGGUUGAACGGGGGAUUUUGAUUAAGUUCACCAUGGUUGCUACAAAAAGACGGCAAGAAUUUCAUUCUCUCUCUCUGUCUUUGGUUGAUUCGGGAUAAUCCGACUUUUGUGAUUGGGUUGAGCUAAGAAGUCCUUGCUUUCUUGUGUUAAUUGCAGUAGAAGACUCCAUGGGGUAUUAGCAAUAGGCUUGUCUGGCUUUGAAGAGUGGCAAAUACACCAUCUGGUAUAAAACUGUCCUCAAAACUCUUAGAAAGUGUCGAAACCCACUGGGUGCAAACAAUUUCUGAGGGCCAUCGGACUGGGUAAAACCUGAAUUAACCGUGGUGCACUUGCGGGAAACUCCUUGCCGAGGGCCUGUGCACCCCCGGGAUUAGUCGGGGCUCAAAGAGACUCGGACACCCGGUGCAAAUCAAAAAAAAAAA